GAUGAACGCUGGCGGCGUGCCUAAUACAUGCAAGUCGAGCGAACAGACGAGGAGCUUGCUCCUCUGACGUUAGCGGCGGACGGGUGAGUAACACGUGGAUAACCUACCUAUAAGACUGGGAUAACUUCGGGAAACCGGAGCUAAUACCGGAUAAUAUAUUGAACCGCAUGGUUCAAUAGUGAAAGACGGUUUUGCUGUCACUUAUAGAUGGAUCCGCGCCGCAUUAGCUAGUUGGUAAGGUAACGGCUUCCAAGGCAACGAUGCGUAGCCGACCUGAGAGGGUGAUCGGCCACACUGGAACUGAGACACGGUCCAGACUCCUACGGGAGGCAGCAGUAGGGAAUCUUCCGCAAUGGGCGAAAGCCUGACGGAGCAACGCCGCGUGAGUGAUGAAGGUCUUCGGAUCGUAAAACUCUGUUAUUAGGGAAGAACAAAUGUGUAAGUAACUAUGCACGUCUUGACGGUACCUAAUCAGAAAGCCACGGCUAACUACGUG
RNAcentral lists this ribosomal RNA (496 nucleotides) under uncultured bacterium. RNAcentral's name for it is "partial 16S ribosomal RNA". It matches the Rfam family "Bacterial small subunit ribosomal RNA", at positions 28 to 507 of the family's 1533-position model. The record is from RNAcentral.